GAUGAACGCUGGCGGCGUGCUUAACACAUGCAAGUCGAACGAAGCAUUUGCGACAGAUUUUUUCGGAAUGAAGUUGCUUAUGACUGAGUGGCGGACGGGUGAGUAACGCGUGGGUAACCUGCCUUGUACUGGGGGAUAGCAGCUGGAAACGGCUGGUAAUACCGCAUAAGCGCACAAUGUUGCAUGACAUGGUGUGAAAAACUCCGGUGGUAUAAGAUGGACCCGCGUCUGAUUAGCUAGUUGGUGAGAUAACAGCCCACCAAGGCGACGAUCAGUAGCCGACCUGAGAGGGUGACCGGCCACAUUGGGACUGAGACACGGCCCAGACUCCUACGGGAGGCAGCAGUGGGGAAUAUUGCACAAUGGAGGAAACUCUGAUGCAGCGACGCCGCGUGAGUGAAGAAGUAAUUCGUUAUGUAAAGCUCUAUCAGCAGGGAAGAUAGUGACGGUACCUGACUAAGAAGCACCGGCUAAAUACGUG
RNAcentral lists this ribosomal RNA (481 nucleotides) under uncultured bacterium. RNAcentral's name for it is "partial 16S ribosomal RNA". It matches the Rfam family "Bacterial small subunit ribosomal RNA", at positions 28 to 507 of the family's 1533-position model. The record is from RNAcentral.